AAAUUAUAACAAAAGAUCCGCUGUAGCACAUUGUCUAAAGCAAACAUUCUAGUUUAAUACUGGAUCAGAAUUCCGGGUUCGAAGCCCGCAGCGAAAAAAUCUUUCUGGUGGUUUUUAUGAAGUAUCUUGUUUGAAAAUUGAAGAUACUUUCUCGUAUUGUUCUUUCUUCUCUGCUCAUUGUUAUGGUUUUUAUACUAUAUU
This 201-nucleotide small RNA is filed under the name Arabidopsis thaliana (thale cress). RNAcentral describes it as "ATSL277080". Lineage: Eukaryota; Viridiplantae; Streptophyta; Magnoliopsida; Brassicales; Brassicaceae. The record is from RNAcentral.